Molecule: transfer RNA, 95 nt
Filed under: Mesorhizobium japonicum MAFF 303099
Lineage: Bacteria; Pseudomonadati; Pseudomonadota; Alphaproteobacteria; Hyphomicrobiales; Phyllobacteriaceae
Description: trnS-GCT
Rfam family: tRNA
About the family: Transfer RNA (tRNA) molecules are approximately 80 nucleotides in length.
Source: RNAcentral
GGAGAGGUGGCCGAGUGGUCGAAGGCGCUCCCCUGCUAAGGGAGUAGAGGUCAAAAGCUUCUCGUGGGUUCGAAUCCCAUCCUCUCCGCCACCCC